This 485-nucleotide ribosomal RNA is filed under the name uncultured bacterium. RNAcentral's name for it is "partial 16S ribosomal RNA". It matches the Rfam family "Bacterial small subunit ribosomal RNA", at positions 29 to 507 of the family's 1533-position model. The record is from RNAcentral.
UUGCACGCUGGCGGCAUGCUUUACCCCUGCAAGUCGAGCGGCAGCGCGGGGGCAACCCUGGCGGCGAGCGGCGAACGGGUGAGUAAUGCAUCGGAACGUAUCCUCGAGUGGGGGAUAACCCAGCGAAAGUUGGGCUAAUACCGCAUGAGCUCUGAGGAGGAAAGCGGGGGACCUGCGAGGGCCUCGCGCUGGAGGAGCGGCCGAUGUCCGAUUAGCUAGUUGGUGGGGUAAAGGCUUACCAAGGCGACGAUCGGUAGCUGGUCUGAGAGGAUGAUCAGCCACACUGGGACUGAGACACGGCCCAGACUCCUACGGGAGGCAGCAGUGGGGAAUUUUGGACAAUGGGGGCAACCCUGAUCCAGCCAUGCCGCGUGAGUGAAGAAGGCCUUCGGGUUGUAAAGCUCUUUCGGACGGAACGAAAUGGGCGGGACUAAUACUCCUGUCUGAUGACGGUACCGUAAGAAGAAGCACCGGCUAACUACGUG